RNAcentral lists this ribosomal RNA (253 nucleotides) under uncultured bacterium. RNAcentral describes it as "partial 16S ribosomal RNA". It matches the Rfam family "Bacterial small subunit ribosomal RNA", at positions 524 to 776 of the family's 1533-position model. The record is from RNAcentral.
UACGUAGGGGGCUAGCGUUGUCCGGAUUUAUUGGGCGUAAAGAGCGUGUAGGCGGUCCGGUAAGUCAGCUGUGAAAGUCAAGGGCUCAACCCUUGAAUGCCGGUUGAUACUGUCGGGCUAGAGUCCGGAAGAGGCGAGUGGAAUUCCCGGUGUAGCGGUGAAAUGCGCAGAUAUCGGGAGGAACACCCAGGGGGAAACCAGUCGACUGGGCAUCUACUGACGCUGAGGUGCGAGAGCGUGGGGAGCGAACCGG